AACGUAGGUGACGAGCGUUAUCCGGAAUUACUGGGCGUAAAGCGCGUGCAGGCGGCUCAGCAAGUCGGGCAUGAAAUCUCCUAGCCUAACUGGGAGACGCUGUCCGAUACUGUUGGGCUUGAGGGCAGUAGAGGGUGGUGGAAUUCCGCAUGUAGUGGUGAAAUGCGUAGAUAUGCGGAGGAACACCAGUGGCGAAAGCGGCCACCUGGACUGCACCUGACGCUGAAGCGCGAAAGCUAGGGGAGCAAACGGG
This 253-nucleotide ribosomal RNA is filed under the name uncultured bacterium. RNAcentral describes it as "partial 16S ribosomal RNA". It matches the Rfam family "Bacterial small subunit ribosomal RNA", at positions 524 to 776 of the family's 1533-position model. The record is from RNAcentral.